Erinaceus europaeus (western European hedgehog) is the source of this 164-nucleotide small nuclear RNA. Its record names the gene U1. It matches the Rfam family "U1 spliceosomal RNA". From Rfam's summary of the family: U1 is a small nuclear RNA (snRNA) component of the spliceosome (involved in pre-mRNA splicing). Its 5' end forms complementary base pairs with the 5' splice junction, thus defining the 5' donor site of an intron. NCBI's taxonomy places the organism in Eukaryota, Metazoa, Chordata, Mammalia, Eulipotyphla, Erinaceidae. The record is from Ensembl.
AUACUUACCUGGCAGGGGAUAUACCAUAAUCAGGAAGGUGGUUUUCCCAGGGCAAGGCUUAAUCUUUGCACUCCAGAUGUGCUGACCCCCGCAAUUUCCCCAAAUGUGGGAAACUCGACAGCAUAAUUUGUGGUAGUGGGGGACUGCAUUCACACACUCCCCUA